AAACCAUUCUUCCUCCUUAGUACGGGCGACGGAAAAGGACCCAAACGAGAGCAAUAGAAAAAGUACCGUAAGGGAACGCUGAAAGAGAGAUGAAACAGCCCAGUACAGCCCAAAAAAGCAGAGAUUCAUCCUCGUACCUUUUGCAUCAUGAUUUAGCCAGAACCCUUAAGCAAAGAGAACUUUAGUUUAAAUCCCCGAAACGAGGUGAGCUACUCCAAGACAGCCUGUUUAUCAGGGCGAACCCGUCUCUGUGGCAAAAGAGUGGGAAGAGCUUAGAGUAGAGGUGACAAGCCAAUCGAACCCCGUCAUAGCUGGUUGCCUGAGAAUUGGAUAUAAGUUCAGCCUCCCGGGUUCUACCUUCAUAACCAAGAUUUUGUCGCGGGAUACCUAGAAACCGAGAGAGUUAGUCAAAGGAGGGACAGCCCCUUUGAAACAGGACACAACCUUAUCAGGAGGGUAAAGAUUACAUUGACUAAAGGAAAAAUAUUUUGGUAGGCCUUAAAGCAGCCACCCAAACAGAAAGCGUUCAAGCUCAGAUAUAAACACCCCCCUCUUAUUCUAAUAAGUUAAUCUAAACCCCCUAAAUGUACCAGGCCAUCCUAUACCCCUAUAGGAGUGAUUAUGCUAGAAUGAGUAAUAAGAAGACCCAGAUCUUCUCCUCGCACACGUAUAACUCGGAAUGGACAAACCACCGAAUAUUAACGAUCCCAAAUAAAACAGAGGGGCCUGGAAAACUAAACAAAAUAAACAAGAAAACCUUCCAUCACUUAUGUUCGUUAACCCUACACCGGCGUGCUAACAAGGAAAGACUAAAAGAAAGAGAAGGAACUCGGCAAAUACUAACCAAGCCUCGCCUGUUUACCAAAAACACCGCCUCCUGCAAACAAAGAAUAGGAGGUCCCACCUGCCCAGUGACUUUUGUUCAACGGCCGCGGUAUGUUGACCGUGCAAAGGUAGCGUAAUCACUUGUCUUUUAAAUGAGGACCUGUAUGAAAGGUACCACGAGGGCUUAACUGUCUCCUCUCUCAAGUCAAUGAAAUUGAUCUCCCCGUGCAGAAGCGGGGAUAAAACUACAAGACGAGAAGACCCUGUGGAGCUUGAGACGCCUAGGCAGACAACGUCAAUCCCCUCUGAACAAAGACCCAAACCAGUUGGUACCUGCCUUAAUGUCUUCGGUUGGGGCGACCCUGGGGUAACAAAAAACCCCCACAUGGAAUGGGAGCACCAAGCCCACUUUCCACCCAACUCCCACAACUAAGGGCCAUGGCCCUAAUUAACAGAAUUUCUGACCAAACUCGAUCCGGCAAGUCCGAUUAAUAAAACGAGUUACCCCAGGGAUAACAGCGCAAU
RNAcentral lists this ribosomal RNA (1350 nucleotides) under Citharoides macrolepis (twospot largescale flounder). RNAcentral describes it as "16S ribosomal RNA". It matches the Rfam family "Bacterial large subunit ribosomal RNA", at positions 225 to 2486 of the family's 2925-position model. Lineage: Eukaryota; Metazoa; Chordata; Actinopteri; Pleuronectiformes; Citharidae. The record is from RNAcentral.